UUUAGAUGGCGACCGGCGCACGGGUGAGUAACACGUAUCCAACCUGCCGAUGACUCGGGGAUAGCCUUUCGAAAGAAAGAUUAAUACCCGAUGGCAUAGUUCUUCCGCAUGGUAGAACUAUUAAAGAAUUUCGGUCAUCGAUGGGGAUGCGUUCCAUUAGGCAGUUGGUGGGGUAACGGCCCACCAAACCUUCGAUGGAUAGGGGUUCUGAGAGGAAGGUCCCCCACAUUGGAACUGAGACACGGUCCAAACUCCUACGGGAGGCAGCAUG
This 271-nucleotide ribosomal RNA is filed under the name uncultured bacterium. Its description in RNAcentral is "partial 16S ribosomal RNA". It matches the Rfam family "Bacterial small subunit ribosomal RNA", at positions 83 to 353 of the family's 1533-position model. The record is from RNAcentral.